This 817-nucleotide ribosomal RNA is filed under the name uncultured bacterium. RNAcentral describes it as "bacterial SSU rRNA". It matches the Rfam family "Bacterial small subunit ribosomal RNA", at positions 62 to 872 of the family's 1533-position model. The record is from RNAcentral.
UCGACGGCAGCACAGGUAGCAAUACCGGGUGGCGAGUGGCGGACGGGUGAGUAAAGCAUCGGGAUCUACCCUGACGUGGGGGAUAACCUCGGGAAACCGGGACUAAUACCGCAUACGUCCUACGGGAGAAAGCGGGGGACCUUCGGGCCUCGCGCGGCAGGACGAACCGAUGUGCGAUUAGCUAGUUGGCGGGGUAACGGCCCACCAAGGCGACGAUCGCUAGCUGGUCUGAGAGGAUGAUCAGCCACACUGGGACUGGGACACGGCCCAGACUCCUACGGGAGGCAGCAGUGGGGAAUAUUGGACAAUGGGCGCAAGCCUGAUCCAGCAAUGCCGCGUGUGUGAAGAAGGCCUUCGGGUUGUAAAGCACUUUUAUCAGGAGCGAAAUACCACGGGUUAAUACCCUAUGGGGCUGACGGUACCUGAGGAAUAAGCACCGGCUAACUUCGUGCCAGCAGCCGCGGUAAUACGAAGGGUGCAAGCGUUAAUCGGAACUACUGGGCGUAAAGGGUGCGUAGGCGGUUCGUUAAGUCUGUUGUGAAAUCCCCGGGCUCAACCUGGGAAUGGCAAUGGAUACUGGCGAGCUAGAGUGUGUCAGAGGAUGGUGGAAUUUCCGGUGUAGCGGUGAAAUGCGUAGAGAUCGGAAGGAACAUCAGUGGCGAAGGCGGCCAUCUGGGACAACACUGACGCUGAAGCACGAAAGCGUGGGGAGCAAACAGGAUUAGAUACCCUGGUAGUCCACGCCCUAAACGAUGCGAACUGGAUGUUGGUCUCAACUCGGAGAUCAGUGUCGAAGCUAACGCGUUAAGUUCGCCGC